Transfer RNA from Entamoeba histolytica HM-1:IMSS, 71 nucleotides. It matches the Rfam family "tRNA". Rfam says of the family: Transfer RNA (tRNA) molecules are approximately 80 nucleotides in length. Their secondary structure includes four short double-helical elements and three loops (D, anti-codon, and T loops). The record is from Rfam. Lineage: Eukaryota; Evosea; Mastigamoebida; Endamoebidae.
GGUUCCAUGGUGUAGUGGCAGCAUAUGAGAUUCUGGUUCUUAGGACCCCAGUUCGAAUCUGGGUGGGACCA